Long non-coding RNA from Chrysolophus pictus (golden pheasant), 1640 nucleotides. Lineage: Eukaryota; Metazoa; Chordata; Aves; Galliformes; Phasianidae. The record is from Ensembl.
AGGGGGAUGUGGGGGGGGGAGAGGAAGCAGAGAGAGGAGAACCCAUGGAGAUGGGAAGCAUAGAGAGGGGAAACAGAGGGGAACCAUGGAGAUGGGAAGCAUAGAGAGGGGAAUCAGAGCGGAACCAUGGAGAUGGGAAGCAUAGGAAGGGGAAUCAAGUGAACCAGAGAGAGGGGAACCCAUGGAGAUGGGAAGCAUAGAGAGGGGAAUCAGAGCAGAACCAUAGAGAUGGGAAUCAUGGAGAUGGGAAGCAUGGAGAGGGGAACUGGAGAGAGAGGAAACCAUGGAGAUGGGAACCAUAGGAAGGGGAAUCAAGUGAACCAGAGAGAGGGGAACCCAUGGAGAGGGGAACCAUGGGGGAACCAGAGAGAGGGGAAACCAUGGAGACCAUGGGAACCACAGAGAUGGGAACGCAUAGAGAGGGGAAUCAGAGCGGAACCAUGGAGAUGGGAAGCAUAGGAAGGGGAAUCAAGUGAACCAGAGAGAGGGGAACCCAUGGAGAGGGGAACCAUGGGGGAACCAGAGAGAGGGGAAACCAUGGAGACCAUGGGAACCACAGAGAUGGGAACCAUGAAGAUGGAAACCCAUAGAGAGUGGAAACAGAGAUAGGGAUCAUGCAGAGAGGAACCGUAGAAACAGAAACCGUCAAGAUGGGAACCAUGGAGAUGGAAACCCAUAAAGAGGGAACCAUAUAAAGGGGACACCAUGGAGAUGGGAACCAUAGAAAGGGGAAUCACAGAGAGGGGAACCUGAGAGAGCAGAAACAUGGGGAUGGGAACCAUGGGGAUGGGAACCAUGGGGAUGGGAACCAUGGGGAUGGGAACCCAUAGAGAGCAGAACCAUAGAGAUGGGAACCAUGGAAAGGGGAACCAGAGAGAGGGGAAUCAGAGUGGAGAACCAGAGAGAGAGGAAAGCAUGGAGAUGGGAACCAUAGAGAUUGGAAACAUAGGGGAACCAGAGAGAGGGGAACCAUGGAGAUGGGAACCACAGAAAGGGGAACCAGAGAGAUCAGAACCAGAGAGAGGGGAACUCAGAACAGAACCAUAGGGAGGGGAACCAUAGAAAGGGGAAUCAGAGAGAUGGGAACCAGAGAGAGGGGAGCCAUAGGGACAGAAACCAUGGAGAUGGAAACCAUAGAGUUGGGAACUCAGACAGGAACCAUAGAGAGGAGGGGAAUCAGGGGAAUCAGCAGAACCAUAGAGACAGAAACCAUGGAGAUGGGAACCAUAGAGUUGGGAACUCAGAGAGACAGGAACCAUAGAGAGGGGAAUCAGCAGAACCAUAGAGACAGAAACCAUGGAGAUGGGAACCAGAGAGAUGGGAACCAGGGAGAGGGGAACCAGGUGAAGGACGAGAGAAGGGCUUACAGGAUGUGGGGAUGGAGAUGUAGUGUACAGAAGCAAACGUGUGGGGUUGUCAGAAGAAUGGGGACUGCAGGCACGGUCAGCCAAGGAGGGGGUAGAGAACAUAAGGAGUGUGGGAGCAGCCUAAGGAUGUCAGCAGGGAGGCGAGGAGGCGUCCUGAGGCUCAGAGGAUCGCAGCGAGGAAGACUACGAUUCUUCAUCCCACCACCACCCGGAGGGGAGCCCCCACCUCUGACUGCUCAGGCAUCGGGGGGAAGGGGGGGGUCUGCAUGCUAA